Molecule: long non-coding RNA, 511 nt
Organism: Oryzias melastigma (Indian medaka)
Lineage: Eukaryota; Metazoa; Chordata; Actinopteri; Beloniformes; Adrianichthyidae
Exons: 3
Source: RefSeq, a predicted model, not a curated record
UGGAAAAACAAGCUGAGCAGCACAGCGAAUGCAUGGUGUCAUGCAUUUUUGUGGACACAAUUUUAGUUUUACUAACAUUCAGGAUCAUGUGGAUAUAUGUGAAAGCAGAGCUCAAGAAUUGGGAGAAGCAGGCCCCUCUUUUACACGCACCCCCUCAGCCUCCACCUCUGUGGGCCGUACACCAUCAGAAGACACAAGACCUUUGGCAGUGCCAUUUGAAGAGUGGAAACUAGAGCCAGACUUGAAGACAGCAGCCAACACGUUUCGAGAUGCUGUUCUCCAAAGAGCCCCAAACAAGCCUAAAUUGAUGGUUACAUUAGAUCUUAAAAAGCAGUGAGACUGAUCGGGAGAGAGACGUUAUAUGUUUCUACAAGCAGGCCAAUAUUGACUGAUCCAGACCAUUUGAACCACGACUGAGGGGUACAUAAUUCCUGAGUACUUUUGUGUGUGUUUAUCAAUUUUUUCCUGUUUGAAUAAUGUUUAUGUAAUUCUUUUUUGUUCUUUUUAUAUA